This 682-nucleotide ribosomal RNA is filed under the name Pseudomonas sp. NO1. RNAcentral describes it as "bacterial SSU rRNA". It matches the Rfam family "Bacterial small subunit ribosomal RNA", at positions 7 to 683 of the family's 1533-position model. Lineage: Bacteria; Pseudomonadati; Pseudomonadota; Gammaproteobacteria; Pseudomonadales; Pseudomonadaceae. The record is from RNAcentral.
GAGAGUUUGAUCCUGGCUCAGAUUGAACGCUGGCGGCAGGCCUAACACAUGCAAGUCGAGCGGAUGAAAGGAGCUUGCUCCUGGAUUCAGCGGCGGACGGGUGAGUAAUGCCUAGGAAUCUGCCUGGUAGUGGGGGACAACGUUUCGAAAGGAACGCUAAUACCGCAUACGUCCUACGGGAGAAAGCAGGGGACCUUCGGGCCUUGCGCUAUCAGAUGAGCCUAGGUCGGAUUAGCUAGUUGGUGAGGUAAUGGCUCACCAAGGCGACGAUCCGUAACUGGUCUGAGAGGAUGAUCAGUCACACUGGAACUGAGACACGGUCCAGACUCCUACGGGAGGCAGCAGUGGGGAAUAUUGGACAAUGGGCGAAAGCCUGAUCCAGCCAUGCCGCGUGUGUGAAGAAGGUCUUCGGAUUGUAAAGCACUUUAAGUUGGGAGGAAGGGUUGUAGAUUAAUACUCUGCAAUUUUGACGUUACCGACAGAAUAAGCACCGGCUAACUCUGUGCCAGCAGCCGCGGUAAUACAGAGGGUGCAAGCGUUAAUCGGAAUUACUGGGCGUAAAGCGCGCGUAGGUGGUUCGUUAAGUUGGAUGUGAAAUCCCCGGGCUCAACCUGGGAACUGCAUCCAAAACUGGCGAGCUAGAGUAUGGUAGAGGGGUAAUGGAAUUUCCUGUGUAGCGGUG